RNAcentral lists this ribosomal RNA (639 nucleotides) under uncultured Streptomyces sp. RNAcentral's name for it is "bacterial SSU rRNA". It matches the Rfam family "Bacterial small subunit ribosomal RNA", at positions 223 to 872 of the family's 1533-position model. Lineage: Bacteria; Bacillati; Actinomycetota; Actinomycetes; Kitasatosporales; Streptomycetaceae. The record is from RNAcentral.
GGAUGAGCCCGCGGCCUAUCAGCUUGUUGGUGGGGUAAUGGCCCACCAAGGCGACGACGGGUAGCCGGCCUGAGAGGGCGACCGGCCACACUGGGACUGAGACACGGCCCAGACUCCUACGGGAGGCAGCAGUGGGGAAUAUUGCACAAUGGGCGAAAGCCUGAUGCAGCGACGCCGCGUGAGGGAUGACGGCCUUCGGGUUGUAAACCUCUUUCAGCAGGGAAGAAGCGAAAGUGACGGUACCUGCAGAAGAAGCGCCGGCUAACUACGUGCCAGCAGCCGCGGUAAUACGUAGGGCGCAGGCGUUGUCCGGAAUUAUUGGGCGUAAAGAGCUCGUAGGCGGCUUGUCACGUCGGAUGUGAAAGCCCGAGGCUUAACCUCGGGUCUGCAUUCGAUACGGGCUAGCUAGAGUGUGGUAGGGGAGAUCGGAAUUCCUGGUGUAGCGGUGAAAUGCGCAGAUAUCAGGAGGAACACCGGUGGCGAAGGCGGAUCUCUGGGCCAUUACUGACGCUGAGGAGCGAAAGCGUGGGGAGCGAACAGGAUUAGAUACCCUGGUAGUCCACGCCGUAAACGUUGGGAACUAGGUGUUGGCGACAUUCCACGUCGUCGGUGCCGCAGCUAACGCAUUAAGUUCCCCGC